This 480-nucleotide ribosomal RNA is filed under the name uncultured bacterium. Its description in RNAcentral is "partial 16S ribosomal RNA". It matches the Rfam family "Bacterial small subunit ribosomal RNA", at positions 28 to 523 of the family's 1533-position model. The record is from RNAcentral.
GACGAACGCUGGCGGCGUGCUUAACACAUGCAAGUCGAACGAUGAAGUUCCUUCGGGAGUGGAUUAGUGGCGAACGGGUGAGGAACACGUGAGAAACCAGCCUUUCAUUUUGGGAUAACUCCGGGAAACCGGGGCUAAAACCGAAUACUCCGUCUCGGCGGCAUCGCUGAGCCGGGAAAAAAUUUUGAUGAAAGAUGGUCUCGCGGCCUAUCAGCUAGUUGGUGAGGUAAUGGCUCACCAAGGCAACGACGGGUAGCCGGCCUGAGAGGGCGACCGGCCACACUGGGACUGAGACACGGCCCAGACUGCUACGGGAGGCAGCAGUGGGGAAUAUUGGGCAAUGGGCGCAAGCCUGACCCAGCGACGCCGCGUGAGGGAUGAAGGCCUUCGGGUUGUAAACCUCUUUCAGUAGGGAAGAAGCGAAAGUGACGGUACCUAAAGAAGAAGCACCGGCUAACUAUGUGCCAGCCGCCGCAGUAA